CAUUUCGGCCAGGCCAAGUCGCUUGGCAGUCAAAUCUCGAUGUGUAUAGGCUAUAAAGAAGGUACAUCUCUAUCACGGGGAGAAAAUCGGACAAACCCGCGAGGUGAAGGUUAAGCAGGAAGGCUGAUAAGCCACAAUCGAGAUCCGAUCGGAUUCCCCCUGGAAACAGUCUCCGAGUGCAGUUCGGUCUUAUCACCUUAUCAGGAAACCUGGUCAGCGCCCGAUCGCCUCGUGAUAUCAGCGCGUUCAGCUGGUGCACAAGCCCCGGUUCCUGAUUUCCAUUCGGAAUGAGUAGCAGUAGCCAGUCACAGAGUGCGAGAUCAGGCCACCAAUGCUUGGCGAACUGUGAUCGCAGAUAUGAUAGAUACACAUGCCGGAAGCAAACUAUGGUUUAGCUGGAUCACGCGAUAUAUAUACUCGCUGAUCGCCCCAAUUGAUCAAUUUUUGGAGUGACGCACUUAAAGGCAGAUAGCGAUUUGGAUAAUUGUGGGAGCAAAUUGGAAUUAUAUUGACCCAGAGAGCACUGAUAGAGAAAGGUGAUGAUCCCAGCUAUAAUCUCCGAAUUUGAAAGCGCGAAAAGCGUGCUG
Molecule: long non-coding RNA, 587 nt
Organism: Drosophila serrata
Lineage: Eukaryota; Metazoa; Arthropoda; Insecta; Diptera; Drosophilidae
Source: RefSeq, a predicted model, not a curated record